This is a long non-coding RNA of Herpailurus yagouaroundi (jaguarundi), 2323 nucleotides long. RefSeq lists it as uncharacterized. The record is from RefSeq and is a predicted model, not a curated record. Lineage: Eukaryota; Metazoa; Chordata; Mammalia; Carnivora; Felidae. The transcript has 2 exons.
AAGCUUUGUGGAAUUUUUACUUUCUAGAGGGAAGAGAACGGUAGCUGGAGACUGGUCUGCAUUUGUAAAACAACAUAGCAAGACUACCAUUCCUGACUCUGUUCUGGCAGACGGGGGAGAAACAGGCUUGGUGCCCAUGUGGGGACUGUUUUUUUUUUUUUUUUUCUCCUUUCAUGAUGGCUUUGAGUCCCUUCUGUUUCUUGCUGUCGAGAUGUGGACCCAUCAGAAGUUUUGCCACACGUGUUGGGGAGCAGAGAGGUGAGACAAAGGUCGCCUGGGAUAGCACGCAUACCGGUCUUCAUGCUAGCCAGAGGUCCGUGCGUGUAAGUUCUGUGGGUGAUCUUCCUCCGCCUUGGCAAGUGAUUGCCACUGCGCGCUUCUCCACGGAUCCUUCUCCUGCGCCGGCUUGGGGAUGUUGUACCUCUGAUGUCGCUGGUGGGCCCGGGGCUUCCGCCGGGUUUGACUGAGACCGUGAACGGCUCUCACUCCCCCCCACCCCUUCUCUCUCCCCUAUUUGAAUUGUCUGUGUGUGCUUGAAGAUGAGGUAAUUAAAUACAUCCUUGAAGGAUACAGAAAGCAAUAACACUCCUCUCCUUGCCUGAUUCUGGGGGAGCACAAUUCCUUAAACUACCAGGUUGGCUUGUCAAAUGAGGUAUUGUUUUUCAAAAUAUAGCCUGAACGGCAUCCGUUAUAAUUAAGGCUUCUGGCUUUCGGUUUAAAGUGAUAUUUGCCAGUAAAAGCCUGCCAAAAAAUAAAUAAAUAAAAGCGGGCUUACCGUUAAAUAUUGAUUUAAGCUUGGAAACUGGCUCCAAAUUUUGUUAUACCAGUCUUGAUCUCUGUGGCCUCUGGGCAUCUGUUUCAAUUUGGUCAAAUUGAAAUGGGGAGGGACAGUGCCAGGCUAACAGCAAGGUGAUCCAAUAUAGUACGAUGAGUUGUAUUUGAUGAAAAAGAGCCAGGCAGAGUCAUCUACAGAUCCCGGGGACAGGUGAACUGGGCUCAGCUACAAUAAGAGCUGAUGGGCAUCUUAACUCAUCUUAUGGGCUGACCUGAGCCGAUGAUGGGUUUUCUGUAAUGUAAACAAUGUUGAGUAAUCUUUUGGGGGCAGUAUGGGAUUUUUGUUUUGUGUUGUUUCUGCCUUUCUGCAUAUCCUGCUAGGUGCAGGCUUCUCCUCCAGCUGGCCACUUUCCUCAGGAUCCUUUCAUGUCACUGGCAGGGAUACUAAACAGCCCAGAUCGAAAACUUUUUCCUGUGAACUGAAUUUCUCGCUCCCUAACUGGAGGUUUUCUCCUAUCCAGGAGAAAAGGGAAGGUCCUCAGGAGAAUUUUCUCCCCCGGAAUGUAUUUACUUGAGGCUUGUUAUUAUCCACCUCUGUCUCUGACAAGAGAAGGCAAACAGGAAGAGGAGGGUUAAAAGUUCCUGAAAAAAGGGCUCUUGAUGAGACUGAGCUCCACGGGUGCAGAGUGCCUGAGAUCCAUUCAUUUCGACAACCUCGGUUAUUCCGGUGCCUCUCAUCAUCUGUAAAGUUAACAAGGGCUGAUAAGACAUGAUGAGGCAGGGUACUGGUUUGUAUUUCCAGCCUCAUAAAUAUUUCACAAUACCAUUUUCUUACAAUCAGAUACAUUAGUUUGCCAAGUGUGGAUGCUGCUGGAUGCUCGCUCGGUGCUGGUGUUUCACAAAAGCCCUGCUUUUAAACCGGCACAUUUAGGGCCUUGAGGUGCACAUCACUUGCCACUGUACCUUGCUUUCAAAUGCAUGUUCUAAUUCGGGUGAGAGAGUUGCUGUCUGACCUCUAGAAACUGCUGCUGUCUACCUUGAAAAAUAUAUUGUUAUGCUCUACAGGCAAAAAAGCAUCCCUCUUAGCCACAUUCUCAUAUUCUUUUUCGUUUUCCAGCCCUGCUAUGCCCUUGUGUUUCUUUGUACUUCACACUGUGGACAGUAGAAUCAGGAGCCAGAGGGUGAAUUUAAUUUGGAACAGACCCCCCUGUCUUGAUAGAACUGCCUUUACUCAGGCUUAAACACAGCAACCUGCAAUUUCCUGAGGCCGUAACUCAGCCGGGGCUCUCACAGGCUCUAAAAAUGAAGUCCAGACUCAGCACCUCUCAGAGCUCACCCAGCUCCUACCAACAACACAGAGUGGUGCGGACGCCCGAGUCAGUCGAGUAGCAAUGGUUUUCUCCCUGAUGUAAUCAAACGGAGUGCACGGAUAUCACUUGAUUAACAGCUGCGGUAUUAAUUUCCCUUUUUGGUUGCUUGACUCACAGCAAGAAUCAUGUCAAGGCAGCAGAGAAGCAAUUAAAUUGAUUUUAAUCUUUGUCAGAGAAGA